CUGCAGAAUUGGAUGUAGCCAGGAAGCGUAACCUCCCAAAAAAGCUUAUGGUUUCUUCAAAUACCAUUUAGGUAGAAUCACUCAAGAACCACUCUAAAAGUUUAAUCCUGUCAGAUUGAGUCCAAAUAUUCAUUACGGGUUCCAGAAAGUAUUUAGAGACAUAAUAGUAUUAAAAUCUCAACUUUAUUUGGCCAACAAAUUCAGUUCCAAUGUUAUUGUAAGCGGAAUGCUAAGAACUAGGCCUGAUGCAGGUCAGGCCUUUGAGGCACUCCCUUGUUCAAGUUCCUCCCCCAAACCCAGUAAUUGCAAAUUUCGUUUCAUGUAUUUUUAUCAGGCCCUCCCAUACCACCCACCUUCCUGGUCAACCCAUUCAAACUAAUGCAUGGGAAGUGACUGCAAAAUGGUCUCGCAUUUGAUCAAAAGGAUGGCAGCACAUCUAAGCUGGUGAGCCAGCAAUCACUUCCACCCUUAGAGCCUGCCAUAGCCAGUGCACAGUAUUCCACCCUUCCACAUUUUGAAGUCAUCUUUAAGUGUCUUAAAGCAGAAGGGAAAGGAAAUGAAAUGUCUAGCGAGCAUGAAGAGAAGCACCUUCACAUCCACCUUUCACCAGGACUGAUGCAGUCAGCCUAUUGCCUCUUCCCCUACAUACUUUGAUUCCAGGGAAGAACAGCUGAGACAAAUGAGAACCCUGACAGGUGGAGAAAUCUACAGGCUUUUCAAAGAAAAAGAAAGAAAAAGCUUUCUUGGAAGAUAUUAGUGGCAAUGCUUCAGAAUGUUGGGCAAUUAAAUUCAUGCUACCACUUCACAACUUGCUUCUAACCCAAGAGAACAAAAUACUUGAAACAAAACUGUGUACAAAAAAGUACAUCACAAUAAAAAAAAUAAUGAACCCAGCUGGCUGGGCUGGCUACCUAGUGAUAGAUCCCUUCUCAAAAGUGAAAAGAAAGAAAAAAGAUAGUGAAGUGUAAAGACAAGUGAGGGCGAAGCGUUACUUUAAGAGCCAAUCCCUGGAUUUCCAGUCAUUCACCUUCUGCUUUAAAUCUUAAUGGGUUUCUGACUCAUUGGGUUGCGUAACAGCAACCAAUUUAGUGUCUGAUUUUUGGGUGAUGUAGAUCAGUCAUCUCUUUACAAUUCAUCCUUUUGGAUUUUUUGCUCAUCAUCAUCACCUUCCUCAAGGUCCGUUUCUUCAUCUGUCUCCAGAUCUUCCAGAUCAUCAUCAGCUGCUGCUCCAUCCUGGCCUCCACUCUCCAAGAAUUUUUUGAAGCCUUCUAGUGUCCUCUCUCCAUUAUAGUCAAUUACGUUUCUGCCAGAGCCUGCAGGGAAGAACUUGAGCGUGGGGAAGCUGUGAAUUUUCACUGCCUCUACUUCAUUGGCUGUUGAAUCCAUCUUGGCAAUGACAAUGUUCUCAUGGUCUCUGUAGGUCUCUCCCAGCUUGUCCCAGAUCGGAGCCAGCUGCUUACAGUGACCACACCAGGGGGCAUAGAACUCCACAAAGACAUUCUUAUUCUCAUCAAAAGCAACUUCCUCAAAAUUCUUCCCAACAAGAACUUUGACAGGCUGCUUGUCCCAGUCUUCAGGGAGAUCCUGGCUCAUCAGGUGAGGCUUGAUCUUGCCCUCCAGGAAUUUAUUACAGAAUUCUUUGAUUAUCACUGUGGUCACUGUCUAUGAAGAUGAACAGGAUCUUCCCUUUGAAGUUUCCAGCUGCAGUCUUGAAGUUGUCCAAUUUCCCUUCAUAAUCAGACACACUUUUUGGUAAGAACAGCAGAAUGUGAGUCUUGAUCUCUCCUCCAAAGAUUUUAGGAGCAGUCUGCUCAGUAAACUCUAUGACAAGAGGCAGCUGAUUAGACUUGAUGAAGUUCAGCAAGUUAUCUUUGGUAAGAUCCCCUUCAAAGUUGUUACGUCCUUCAUCAAACUUCUUGAAAAGGACCACUCCAUCUUGGCUAAGCUGGUACUUGGAGAAGACGUCAGCGCUGGAAGAAAUCCCAAAAGGAAUGUCAUCCACGGAUUCUGCUGCCAACAAAAACUCCUUCGCAGCAUCUGAUGUCACAUCCUUAAAGAAACCAAUCACAACCACUUCACUGGAAUCCACCAAUGUCUCUGCUGCAGCAGCAUCUGUCAGGGUAGUGGCAGCCGGUCCCGUGCGCUUCUUCAGCCAGCUGACAAUAUCAUCUGCUUCCCUGCCAGCUGUGUACUCGCGGGGCGCGGCCUUGUCCCCGUUGCGGAAGAACUUGAUGGUGGGGUACCCGCGCACGCCGAACUGCUGCGCCAGCUCCGCCUCCUCCGUGGCGUCCACCUUGGCCAGGCGGAUCUCGGAACCCUCCGCCUUCAGCUGCGCCGCCGCCUUCGCGUACUCCGGGGCCAACGCCUUGCAGUGCCCGCACCACGGCGCGUCUGCGGGGCGGCAGUCAGCGGGGCUGCGGGCACGGCCCACCGCACGGCCCGCCCCGCCGCCCCCAGCCCAGCUCGGCCCGCUCCGCCGCUCCUCCGUCCCGGCCCCGCCCGCCCCACGGACACUCACAGAACUCCACCAGCAGCAGCCGGUGCUCGCGCAGGGCGCGCUCGAAGUUGUGCUCGUGGAGCACCAGGACGCCGUCCUCCUCCUCCAGGGGCUCCGCGAGGCCGAGCGGCGGCACGAGGCAGAGCAGCGCUACGAUCGCGCGCAGCCGCACCACGGCCAUGGCGGCGCUGAGACGGGACGGGCCGGGACGGGCGUGCGGCUGCCGGCGCCGCCUCCCUUAUAAACCCGCCUCCCACCGCCGCCGCGCCCCAUUGGUCGCGCCGCGCUGGCGCCGCCGCCGUCCGUCAUUGGCUCGGUGCGGCGCCCGAGCGGCCGCGCGGCUCCC
Molecule: long non-coding RNA, 2843 nt
Filed under: Gallus gallus (chicken)
Lineage: Eukaryota; Metazoa; Chordata; Aves; Galliformes; Phasianidae
Source: RNAcentral